RNAcentral lists this long non-coding RNA (344 nucleotides) under Brachypodium distachyon (stiff brome). RNAcentral's name for it is "long non-coding RNA (BDIS_LNC000266)". The record is from RNAcentral. Lineage: Eukaryota; Viridiplantae; Streptophyta; Magnoliopsida; Poales; Poaceae.
AAUUACUCAAGACAUCAUAGAUGUUUCGCCAUUACAAACCGCUCAUCAUACCAACUACUUUAAAGAUAGCAGACAUCCAAGAUCACUCAAAAAAUAAAACCAGUAGCAUUUCUGUAUGAGGGUAACAAGAUGGGAUGGAAUAUGAUUCCAGAUCAAACAGCCAAUCCCGCUUCCAAGAACCCAGCAGCAACAAGCAGAUUGACCGAGACUCUAGAUCUUGUUGAAGGCAACAAUGUCACAGCUCUGGACAUACUCGUUGAUGGGCUCCUCGCAGAGGACCUCCUCGAUGAGGGUGUCGACUGACACGAGAUCAUCCACAAUCGUCAACAUGAUCUGCAGCUUCU